Long non-coding RNA from Tachysurus vachellii, 181 nucleotides. RefSeq lists it as uncharacterized. NCBI's taxonomy places the organism in Eukaryota, Metazoa, Chordata, Actinopteri, Siluriformes, Bagridae. The record is from RefSeq and is a predicted model, not a curated record. The transcript has 3 exons.
CCCUCACAGCAUUAGCGGAACAUUAGACAAGACAGACACCCAACAUUGGGGACUUUGCAGCUCAUCUCCCAUGAGGCCGUCCUGCCGGUUUCCCAGCACAAAGGCGAGGAAGGAGAGGAUGAGUGCGUCCAGGAUGCCCAUGAUGGCCAGGAUGUAGGCCCAGCGCACUGAGCACUUCCCG